AGUGAACGCUGGCGGUAGGCCUAACACAUGCAAGUCGAACGGCAGCACAGUAAGAGCUUGCUCUUACGGGUGGCGAGUGGCGGACGGGUGAGGAAUACAUCGGAAUCUACUUUUUCGUGGGGGAUAACGUAGGGAAACUUACGCUAAUACUGCAUACGACCUACGGGUGAAAGCAGGGGAUCUUCGGACCUUGCGCGAUUGAAUGAGCCGAUGUCGGAUUAGCUAGUUGGCGGGGUAAAGGCCCACCAAGGCGACGAUCCGUAGCUGGUCUGAGAGGAUGAUCAGCCACACUGGAACUGAGACACGGUCCAGACUCCUACGGGAGGCAGCAGUGGGGAAUAUUGGACAAUGGGCGCAAGCCUGAUCCAGCCAUACCGCGUGGGUGAAGAAGGCCUUCGGGCUGUAAAGCCCUUUUGUUGGGAAAGAAAAGCAGCAGGUUAAUACCCCGCUGUUCUGACGGUACCCAAAGAAUAAGCACCGGCUAACUUCGUG
RNAcentral lists this ribosomal RNA (492 nucleotides) under uncultured bacterium. RNAcentral's name for it is "partial 16S ribosomal RNA". It matches the Rfam family "Bacterial small subunit ribosomal RNA", at positions 29 to 507 of the family's 1533-position model. The record is from RNAcentral.